RNAcentral lists this ribosomal RNA (372 nucleotides) under uncultured organism. RNAcentral's name for it is "partial 16S ribosomal RNA". It matches the Rfam family "Bacterial small subunit ribosomal RNA", at positions 527 to 896 of the family's 1533-position model. The record is from RNAcentral.
GUAGGGUGCAAGCGUUGUUCGGAAUUAUUGGGCGUAAAGCGCGUGUAGGUGGCUAUGCAAGUCGGGUGUGAAAUCCCUCGGCUCAACCGAGGAAGUGCAUCCGAAACUACAUAGCUAGAGGACGGUAGAGGGAGGUGGAAUUCCUAGUGUAGAGGUGAAAUUCGUAGAUAUUAGGAGGAACAUCUGUGGCGAAGGCGGCCUCCUGGGCCGUUCCUGACACUGAGACGCGAAAGCGUGGGUAGCAAACAGGGAUUAGAUACCCUGGUAGUCCACGCCGUAAACGAUGAGUACUAGAUGUUGUGGGUAUUGACCCCCUACAGUGUCGCCGCUAACGCAUUAAGUACUCCGCCUGGAAGUACGGUCGCAAGAUUA